Molecule: long non-coding RNA, 493 nt
Filed under: Rattus norvegicus (Norway rat)
Lineage: Eukaryota; Metazoa; Chordata; Mammalia; Rodentia; Muridae
Description: long non-coding RNA NONRATT000058
Source: RNAcentral
ACGCCGUGCCUGAUGACAUACUGACUGAGGCAAUUCUGAAACAUAAGUUUGAUGUGCAGAAGGCGUUGUCGGUGGUUCUGGAACAAGAUGGUGUGCAGACUUUGAAGGAGAAGAGUGAGCGAGCAGUGUGUGCAGGACAGCCUUCAAAAGGUAUGCCUUCACCUGCUCUGUCUGCCUCCUGGGGUGCCCAGACGCUGGGCUUGGCUCACGUUGGUCAGCUGCUAGCUUGCAGCCUUAUGAUUUUAUGUGCACGAGUGUUUGCCUGCACCCGUGUGUAAUGCUGCAGGAGGUCAGAAGAGGCUGUGCAGGCCCUGGGACUGGAGGGAAGGACGGUUGUGAGCGUGCUGCUGGGAACCAGACCCUGACUGUCUGCCAGAGUAGAGGGAUUAAUGCUCUUAACCACUGAGCCGCCUCUUCAACUUGAGCACUAUGUUCCCUUCCUGUUAAAGUGUAUGCAUAACACUAGCACAAAGACAAUAAAGUCAGAUAAAAG